GGCCCUACGGGGCGCAGCAGGCGCGAAAACUUUACAAUGCGGGAAACCGCGAUAAGGGGACACCGAGUGCCAGCAUCCUAUGUUGGCUGUCCAUAUGUAUAAAUCACAUGUGUUAGCAAGGGCCGGGCAAGACCGGUGCCAGCCGCCGCGGUAACACCGGCGGCCCGAGUGGUGGCCACUAUUAUUGGGUCUAAAGGGUCCGUAGCCGGUUUGGUCAGUCUUCCGGGAAAUCUGACGGCUCAACCGUUAGGCUUUCGGGGGAUACUACCAGGCUUGGGACCGGGAGAGGUAAGAGGUACUACGGGGGUAGGAGUGAAAUCUUGUAAUCCCAGUGGGACCACCAGUGGCGAAGGCGUCUUACCAGAACGGGUCCGACGGUGAGGGACGAAAGCUGGGGGCACGAACCGGAUUAGAUACCCGGGUAGUCCCAGCUGUAAACUAUGCUCGCUAGGUGUCAGGGACGGUGCGACCGUUUCUGGUGCCGCAGGGAAGCCGUGAAGCGAGCCACCUGGGAAGUACGGUCGCAAGGCUGAAACUUAAAGGAAUUGGCGGGGGAGCACUACAACGGGUGGAGCCUGCGGUUUAAUUGGACUCAACGCCGGAAAACUCACCGGGGGCGACAGCAAUA
Molecule: ribosomal RNA, 628 nt
Filed under: uncultured Methanomethylovorans sp.
Lineage: Archaea; Methanobacteriati; Methanobacteriota; Methanomicrobia; Methanosarcinales; Methanosarcinaceae
Description: bacterial SSU rRNA
Rfam family: Archaeal small subunit ribosomal RNA
Source: RNAcentral